GAGAGCCUUUGGCUGCUUCUGAGACCGGCUGUGGGCUGCCACCGCUGAGCGGCGCGGAGGCUGCAGCGUUCCCUCUCAGGACAGAAAGCAGGCGUUGGGGACUGUUACUCGCAGCCUGCCAGGGGCAGCAGCCGCCCCAGGUUCAAGUGGCUAUGUGCCAGGAUACUCAGGCGCGGCUGUUGGCUGCCCAUGGGAGAGCCAGUGCUCUCCGCAGGUCCAAAGUGCAAGGCCGGGCUAUUCCCGGACUUGCCUAGGAGCAGGGGCCCCCAGCGCGUCUGGGAUUGCCCCGGCGCGUCGGGCGCGCGAACUUGUGCGCAAGGGAGAAGAGCGCUUACCAUGGAACAUGGUCUGCGGGAGGCGGGCGUAGUCAUGAUGACCGCAACUGGAGCAGGAGCAAGCUCUCACCGCCCAUAGUCACUCCCAGGACCCUGGUCUUCCGCGGAGUUGCCGAGUCUGUGUUGGGCAGGGUGAUCUCUGCAGCUGGUUCCUCUUACCCACGCCGCGACUGCAGUUUCAUCCAUCCCAAGGGGGGCGGCACACACUACGGCGUGGCUCUGCGCUUUGCCUUUUCCAUAACUUCCGUAGGAUCCGCCAGCAGUGUACUUUCAGUUUCUACUUUGCGCUUGGUCUGCAGGUUCAAUCUUUGGGAUCAUCAGCAUGGAAUCUUCAUUAUCCCCUCUCUCCUGGGCACCUGCUUCCCGCGCACCUGGAUGAGGACCAGAGGAAUUCGCGAAUUUCCGAAUCACCGCAGGAAAAACCAGCUGGCCUGAAUCAAAGCAAUUCUGGGUAAAAGACUUCCCAGAUGAUCUCUCAACGCCUUGGCAACGCUUGGCGACUGGGAGCUAGAACCAUGAGUUGUUAAUGUGUGCACGGAAGCCACAAGUGUGCAGGACGCAAGCUGGGUUAUUGGAAGCGGACGACACCAAGGAGGCGUUGCCGCGGAUGUGGUGGACGAUGCCAAGUCGUCUUUUAAAAAAGGAAGUGAAGAAUGAUUAAGAGGGUCACGCCCUCUACCACUCCAACCUCUCUAAUCAGUCUCUUUCUGCUCCGUCUGCUGUACAUGCACCUGCUCAGGUGAGACCUCAAGGAAAAAUAAUCCUGUGGGUCCACCUAAUCUGACAACUACUUCUUAGCCUCCCCAAAUUUCCUCCCAAGUAUUUCUGGGAGUCCCCAAUUUGUGCCUCCCUUGUAUUCAUGGUCAAAAUCAGAAAUGAUGGGAUAUUUUCAUCAGAAGUAUAUUCACAUGAGGAGCAAAAGAUCCUUGGGAGAGAAGCUAUCCCAACCAAGCCUGCGCAGACAACCACAGUUGCUAACAGUAUGAGUUCUGCAGUUAUACAGAACUAAGUCCAUUAGCUGUGUGACCCAUGGCCAAAUAUUUUCCUUCUCUGUGCCUGCAUUUCUUCAUCUGCAAACUGGAAUAAUGAUAGCAACUACUUCAGAGGACUAUGCUAGAGUGCAAUGGCGCAAUCUUGGCUCACUGCAACCUCC
Molecule: long non-coding RNA, 1488 nt
Filed under: Homo sapiens (human)
Lineage: Eukaryota; Metazoa; Chordata; Mammalia; Primates; Hominidae
Description: HSALNT0347897
Source: RNAcentral